AUACGUAGGGUGCGAGCGUUGUCCGGAAUUACUGGGCGUAAAGAGCUCGUAGGUGGUUUGUCGCGUCGUCUGUGAAAUUCCGGGGCUUAACUCCGGGCGUGCAGGCGAUACGGGCAUAACUUGAGUACUGUAGGGGAGACUGGAAUUCCUGGUGUAGCGGUGAAAUGCGCAGAUAUCAGGAGGAACACCGGUGGCGAAGGCGGGGCUCUGGGCAGUAACUGACGCUGAGGAGCGAAAGCAUGGGUGGCGAACAGGAUUAGAUGCCCUGGUAGUCCAUGCCGUAAACGGUGGGCGCUAGGUGUAGGGGUCUUCCACGACUUCUGUGCCGUAGCUAACGCAUUAAGCGCCCCGCCUGGGGAGUACGGCCGCAAGGCUAAAACUCAAAUGAAUUGACGGGG
RNAcentral lists this ribosomal RNA (398 nucleotides) under uncultured bacterium. Its description in RNAcentral is "partial 16S ribosomal RNA". It matches the Rfam family "Bacterial small subunit ribosomal RNA", at positions 523 to 918 of the family's 1533-position model. The record is from RNAcentral.